GUUUCAUAAGAACCUCAAAUGUAGAGAAAGGCCUUGAAAGCCACUGAUCUAGACAGGAAAUCCAAAGGCCUGACCCGAAUGGCCAUGGCUGGCCGGAGAGAGGUUAUAGAUGACCAGAGAACAGCCAUGAGCUGAAAUAGAAUAAGGCUUGGACCAAGCUCUUUUAAGAUGGGACCUUGAGACCAUAAGAACAAACGUACAGAAGCCAUGAGAGGCUGGUACAUGUUUCAAAUAACCAUAGGAGGCCAUAGAUUAAGGAGGUAUCAUGGUUGAAACUUAAUGGCGGCUGCUAGGGUUUGUAAGAAUCUGAGAGGGAAUUAAUAGAGAAAGGGAUUCAAGGGUGGUUGUAGGGAAGAAAUGAUUUAGGUUUAGGGGUUAGUUUGGAUUAAAA
RNAcentral lists this long non-coding RNA (391 nucleotides) under Nicotiana benthamiana. RNAcentral's name for it is "long non-coding RNA (NBEN_LNC039749)". Lineage: Eukaryota; Viridiplantae; Streptophyta; Magnoliopsida; Solanales; Solanaceae. The record is from RNAcentral.